RNAcentral lists this ribosomal RNA (1501 nucleotides) under metagenome. Its description in RNAcentral is "bacterial LSU rRNA". It matches the Rfam family "Bacterial large subunit ribosomal RNA", at positions 1401 to 2925 of the family's 2925-position model. The record is from RNAcentral.
GGCGAGAGCCGUAGCCGAUGGACAACAGGUUGAUAUUCCUGUACUGCAGUAUAACAGAACUGUGGGGACACGUAAGGAGAGCGGGAGCCGGGAAUGGAAAGCCCGGUACAAGCGAGGUACCAGUAUGGUAGGAAAAACCGCCAUGCAAUGGGAAGACGUGAUGUGGAGUGAAAUAUAGUAACGAAGCCCGUGAGCCAUGCGUCAAGAAAAGCCGCUAUUGUUUAUAUUGUACCCGUACCGUAAACCGACACAGGUGGAUGAGGAGAGAAUCCUAAGGCCGGCGGAAGAAGUAUUGCCAAGGAACUCGGCAAAAUGGCCCCGUAACUUAGGGAGAAGGGGUGCCUGCGAGAGCAGGCCGCAGAGAAUAGGCUCAAGCAACUGUUUAGCAAAAACACAGGUCUAUGCGAAACCGAAAGGUGAGGUAUAUGGGCUGACGCCUGCCCGGUGCUGGAAGGUUAAGAGGAGAGGUUAGACGCAAGUCGAAGCUUUGAAUUUAAGCCCCAGUAAACGGCGGCCGUAACGAUAACGGUCCUAAGGUAGCGAAAUUCCUUGUCGGGUAAGUUCCGACCCGCACGAAAGGCGUAAUGAUUUGAGCGCUGUCUCGGCAAUACAUCCGGUGAAAUUGAAGUGCCAGUGAAGAUGCUGGCUACCCGGGCCAGGACGGAAAGACCCCAUGGAGCUUUACUCCAGUUUGGCACUGGGGUCCGGUGUUGCAUGUACAGGAUAGGUGGGAGGCUGAGAGAUAGUGACGUCAGUUGCUAUGGAGCCGCUGUUGGGAUACCACCCUUGUGAUAUUGGGCUUCUAACCAGCCGCCGUAAUCCGGCGGUGGGACAAUGCCAGGCGGGGAGUUUGACUGGGGCGGUCGCCUCCGAAAGGGUAUCGGAGGGCCCAAAGGUUCCCUCAGAAUGGACGGAAACCAUUCGAAGAGUGCAAAGGCAGAAGGGAGCUUGACUGCGACACCGACGGGUGGAGCAGGUACGAAAGUAGGGCUUAGUGAUCCGGUGGUAUUAAGUGGGAAUGCCAUCGCUCAACGGAUAAAAGCUACCCUGGGAUAACAGGCUUAUCACUCCCAAGAGUUCACAUCGACGGAGUGGUUUGGCACCUCGAUGUCGGCUCAUCGCAUCCUGGGGCUGUAGUAGGUCCCAAGGGUUGGGCUGUUCGCCCAUUAAAGCGGUACGCGAGCUGGGUUCAGAACGUCGUGAGACAGUUCGGUCCCUAUCCGGCGUGGGCGUAGGAUAUCUGAGAGGAGCUGUCCUUAGUACGAGAGGACCGGGAUGGACGGACCGCUGGUGGACCGGUUGGCUUGCCAAAGCCAUGGCCGGGUAGCCAAGUCCGGAAGGGAUAAACGCUGAAGGCAUCUAAGCGUGAAGCCCCCCUCAAGAUGAGAUAUCCCAUUCUUUAAGAAGUAAACCCCCUUGAAGACGACGAGGUAGAUAGGGCAGAGGUGGAAGUGUGGUAACACAUGGAGCUGACUGUUACUAAUCGGGUGAGGGCUUGAUC